Molecule: signal recognition particle RNA, 303 nt
Filed under: Aotus nancymaae (Ma's night monkey)
Lineage: Eukaryota; Metazoa; Chordata; Mammalia; Primates; Aotidae
Description: Metazoan signal recognition particle RNA (ENSANAG00000002092.1)
Rfam family: Metazoan signal recognition particle RNA
About the family: The signal recognition particle (SRP) is a universally conserved ribonucleoprotein. It is involved in the co-translational targeting of proteins to membranes.
Source: RNAcentral
GCCCGGCACAGUGGCACAUGCCUGUAGUCCCAGCUACUCAGGAGGCUGAGGUGGGAGGAUCGAUCGCCUGAGCCCAGGAGUUCUGGGCUGUAGUGCGCUAUGCCAAUCAGGUGUCUGCACUAAGUUCAACAUCGAUAUGGUGACCUCCCAGGAACGGGGGACCACCAGAUUGCCUAAGGAGGGGUGAACUGGCCCAGGUCGGAAACGGAGCAGGUCAAAACUCCCGUGCUGAUCAGCAGUGGGAUCUCACCUGUGAAUAGCCACUGCACUCCAGCCUGGGAAACAAAGCAAGACCCUGUCUCU